RNAcentral lists this ribosomal RNA (253 nucleotides) under uncultured bacterium. Its description in RNAcentral is "partial 16S ribosomal RNA". It matches the Rfam family "Bacterial small subunit ribosomal RNA", at positions 524 to 776 of the family's 1533-position model. The record is from RNAcentral.
UACGUAGGGGGCGAGCGUUGUCCGGAAUUACUGGGCGUAAAGAGCGUGUCGGCGGCUUUUUAAGUCAGACGUGAAACCCCUGGGCUUAACCCAGGACCUGCGUUUGAAACUGGAGAGCUUGAGGACCGGAGAGGACUGUGGAAUUCCCAGUGUAGCGGUGAAAUGCGUAGAUAUUGGGAGUAACACCAGUGGCGAAGGCGACUGUCUGGACGGCACCUGACGCUGAGGCGCGAAAGCCAGGGGAGCAAACGGG